This is a long non-coding RNA of Gossypium arboreum, 234 nucleotides long. RefSeq lists it as uncharacterized. NCBI's taxonomy places the organism in Eukaryota, Viridiplantae, Streptophyta, Magnoliopsida, Malvales, Malvaceae. The transcript has 3 exons. The record is from RefSeq and is a predicted model, not a curated record.
AUCGGAGUGACUAAAUCUAGUCAUCAACUUCGACAAAGGAGAAAUCGCAUAGGAGAUCUCGUCAAGGAAUAUCGCAAAUCAGGUGAGCCUUGAUGUGGGGACUUGGGCCGGAGGGGAUUCAGAGUGGCCACGGUGAUCGUCUUGGGCUUUAAAUAAAGUGUUGGUUUCCGUUUAAUUUCCUUUAACUAUUAUUUAUUUUUGGGUUGUAAUAAGGCCAAUUUUAACUUUUCUUUU